This 550-nucleotide ribosomal RNA is filed under the name Neobacillus bataviensis. Its description in RNAcentral is "bacterial SSU rRNA". It matches the Rfam family "Bacterial small subunit ribosomal RNA", at positions 929 to 1481 of the family's 1533-position model. Lineage: Bacteria; Bacillati; Bacillota; Bacilli; Caryophanales; Bacillaceae. The record is from RNAcentral.
GCGGUGGAGCAUGUGGUUUAAUUCGAUAGCAACGSGRARGACCUUACCAGGUCUUGACAUCCUCUGACACUCCUAGAGAUAGGAYKUUCCCCUUCGGGRGACAGAGUGACAGGUGGUGCAUGGUUGUCGUCAGCUCGUGUCGUGAGAUGUUGGGUUAAGUCCCGCAACGAGCGCAACCCUUGAUCUUAGUUGCCAGCAUUCAGUUGGGCACUCUAAGGUGACUGCCGGUGACAAACCGGAGGAAGGUGGGGAUGACGUCAAAUCAUCMUGCCCCUUAUGACCUGGGCUACACACGUGCUACAAUGGAUGGUACAAAGGGCUGCAAAACCGCGAGGUUAAGCCAAUCCCAUAAAACCAUUCUCAGUUCGGAUUGCAGGCUGCAACUCGCCUGCAUGAAGCCGGAAUCGCUAGUAAUCGCGGAUCAGCAUGCCGCGGUGAAUACGUUCCCGGGCCUUGUACACACCGCCCGUCACACCACGAGAGUUUGUAACACCCGAAGUCGGUGGGGUAACCGUAAGGAGCCAGCCGCCUAAGGGGGACAGAGAUGGGU